Sapajus apella (tufted capuchin) is the source of this 500-nucleotide long non-coding RNA. RefSeq lists it as uncharacterized. The record is from RefSeq and is a predicted model, not a curated record. Lineage: Eukaryota; Metazoa; Chordata; Mammalia; Primates; Cebidae. The transcript has 2 exons.
GGUUUCGCCAUGUUGGCCAGGCUGGUCUCAAAUUCCUGUCUUAAGGGAUCCGCCUGCCUCAGCCUCCCAAAGUGCUGGGAUUACAGUCGUAAGCCACCGCGCUUGGCUACUUGAAGAUUUUGAGGCAUACUGAUCCUAUGUGAGCAGGUAGCCCUUUAAGCACUCCAGCUCUUCUCUGACAUUAGGUUACACUCAACUUCUUUGGCACCUCUUCUGUUCAGCCAACCGAAUGUUUUGAGGUUUCUCCUUUCUUAUUCUUUCUUUGAAAGAACCUGAACAGCUCACCUUCAGGUAUAAAUUUGAAAACAUUUGUGCUGAAUAUUUUAUACCAUAACACCAUUCAUUAACUUUUACUCCUAGCCUAAAGGAAUUACUUCAAGGGAGUACAGAGAAAUAACUUACUUAUCUUCAAGGCUUUGCAUCAUUAAUACUGAAUUUUAGUUUAGGGUUAUUAAGUAUUUAAGGGAAGCUCUGGGGAGACAUGCUUUUUGGCCUGUGCC